This 960-nucleotide ribosomal RNA is filed under the name Triticum aestivum (bread wheat). Its description in RNAcentral is "partial small subunit ribosomal RNA". Lineage: Eukaryota; Viridiplantae; Streptophyta; Magnoliopsida; Poales; Poaceae. The record is from RNAcentral.
AUGGCGGGGAGUGGGAAGGAGGCUUUAAUUAAGUCGGUCGCUCAAGCAAUGCCAAAUUUUUCAAUGUCAUGUUUUCUAUUACCUAGGGGUUUGUGCCAGCAAAUUGACACGAUGUUAAGGAAGUUUUCCUGGGGGAGUAAGAAUGGAGAAAGGGAAGUCGCGUGGGUCUCAUGGGACAAGCUUACCAUGCCAAAGUACCAAGGGGGUUUAGGCUUUCGAGAUAUGGAGCUCUUCAACCUUGCAAUGUUCGCCAAGCAAGGUUGGAGGCUACUUCAGGACCCUAGUGCACUAAGCGCUAGAAUUUUAAAGGUUGUUUAUUAUCCACAAGGAGAUGUGCUUGCAUCUGAUUUGGGUUCUCAUCCAUCUCAGGUGUGGCAUGCGAUUCAUGUUGGGCUACAUGUUUUGAAACAAGGCCUAAUUAAGCGUGUUGGAGAUGGUCAGUCCAUUAAGAUCUGGGAGGAUAAUUGGAUUCCAAGGGACAACAUGUUGAGAACUCUACAUCCUAAAACAACUGACCCUCCAAUCAUGGUCAGUGAGUUGAUAGAAAAUGCGACCAAGUAUUGGAACAAACAACUAGUCCAGGAACAUUUGCAGCCCAUUGAUGCUUCGGUUGUGCUAAAUAUUCCUUUGAGUUACCGAAAUUCAGAAGAUAGCUGGGCAUGGCAUUAUGAGCGGACUUGUAUCUUCACUGUCCGCUCGGCAUAUCGUCUACUAGUGGACACAAAGAGGAGGCGGGAAAACUGGCUGGAAGGGCGAGCGGAAUCGUCCAACACUAUGGCAGCUCAUGGUCAGUGGAAGAAGUUAAGGAAGUUCGAGUUCAAGGUCAAAUUAAGCUCUUUGCAUGUCGUUUGGCUCGCAACUCGGUCCCAACCGAAUCUUUACGUCACCAUAGGAACAUGGCAGAUGCUGAUGUGUGUCCAAUCUGUAACAGUGCGGUUGAUGACUGGAGACAUGCACUGA